CUCAAGACUUCUUAACCGUACCGUAAACCGACACUGGUGGACGAGUUGAGGAUACUCAGGCGAGCGGGAGAACCCAUCUUAAGGAAUUAGGCAGAAAUGUCUCGUAACUUCGGGAGAAGAGACGCCCUUGAAAGAGGGUCGCAGCGAAAAGGCUCUGUCGACUGUUUGCCAAAAACACAGGUCUCUGCUAAGCCGUAGGGCGACGUAUAGGGGCUGAUGCCUGCCCAGUGCCGGAAGGUUAAGGGGACGUGUGCAAGCACUGAACUGAAGCCCCGGUGAACGUCGGCCGUAACUAUAACGGUCCUAAGGUAGCGAAAUUCCUUGUCGGGUAAGUUCCGACCCGCACGAAAGGCCUAACGAAUGGAGCACUGUCUCAAGAUGGGACCCGGCGAAAUUGAAGUGUGCGUCAAAAUGCGUACUACCCGCAGCAGGACAAAAAGACCCCGUGGAGCUUUACUGUAGCCUGUCAUUGCGUUUGGGUGACACUUGUGUAGGAUAGCUGGGAGACUGGGAAGCGUGGUCGCUAGAUUGCGUGGAGUCGUCCUUGAAAUACCAGCCUAGUGUCGCUUAGGCCCUAACCUGCAUGUAACAGCAUGAGGGACAGUGACUGGUGGGCAGUUUGACUGGGGCGGUCGCCUCCUAAAGAGUAACGGAGGCGCCCAAAGGUUGGUUCAGAUGGAAUGGAAACCCAUCAUAGAGUGUAAAGGCAAAAACCAGCUUGACUGCGAGACCUACAAGUCGAGCAGAGACGAAAGUCGGGCUUAGUGAUCCUACGGCGCUGAGUGGAAAGGCCGUAGCUUACCGGAUAAAAGCUACCCCGGGGAUAACAGGCUAGUCUUCUCCAAGAGUUCACAUCGACGAGAAGGCUCGGCACCCGAUGUCGGCUCAUCGCAUCCUGGGGCUGGAUAAAGUCCCAAGGGUUGGGCUGUUCGCCCAUUAAAGCGGUACGUGAGCUGGGUUCAGACCGUCGUGAGACAGGUCGGUCUCUAUCCGCUGUGGGCGUUGGGUAUUUGAGGGGAGCUGCCUCUAGUACGAGAGGACCGAGGCGGACGAAGCUCUUGUGUGUCUGUUGUCGUGCCAACGGCAUGGCCGAGUAGCAACCUUGGAAGGGAUAACCGCUGAAAGCAUCUAAGUGGGAAGCCCACCCCAAGACGAGAUACCCCAUCCCUUUAAGGGAGUAAGACCGCUAGGAGACCACUAGCUUGAUAGGCGGGAGGUGGAAGGCUGGUAACAGUUGUAGCUGACCCGUACUAAUGGUCGAGGGCUUC
This 1268-nucleotide ribosomal RNA is filed under the name metagenome. RNAcentral's name for it is "bacterial LSU rRNA". It matches the Rfam family "Bacterial large subunit ribosomal RNA", at positions 1627 to 2925 of the family's 2925-position model. The record is from RNAcentral.